This 560-nucleotide ribosomal RNA is filed under the name uncultured bacterium. Its description in RNAcentral is "bacterial SSU rRNA". It matches the Rfam family "Bacterial small subunit ribosomal RNA", at positions 338 to 916 of the family's 1533-position model. The record is from RNAcentral.
CCUACGGGAGGCAGCAGUUAGGAAUAUUGGACAAUGGGGGAAACCCUGAUCCAGCCAUGCCGCGUGUGUGACGAAGGCCGUAGGGUUGUAAAGCACUUUCAGCUGUGAAGAUAAUGACAGUAGCAGCAGAAGAAGCUCCGGCUAAAUUCGUGCCAGCAGCCGCGGUAAUACGAAUGGAGCGAGCGUUGUUCGGAAUCACUGGGCGUAAAGGGUGCGCAGGCGGUCAUGAAAGUUAGAAGUGAAAUCCCCAGGCUCAACCUGGGAACUGCUUUUAAAACUCCAUGACUAGAGUACUGGAGAGGUUGGCGGAAUUCCAAGUGUAGCAGUGAAAUGCGUAGAUAUUUGGAGGAACACCAAUGGCGUAGGCAGCCAACUGGACAGUUACUGACGCUCAUGCACGAAAGCGUGGGGAUCAAACAGGAUUAGAUACCCUGGUAGUCCACGCCCUAAACGAUGUGUGCUAGUUGUCGGGACCUUUAGGUCUCGGUGACGCAGCUAACGCUUUAAGCACACCGCCUGAGGACUACGGUCGCAAGACUAAAACUCAAAUGAAUUGACGG